This 279-nucleotide ribosomal RNA is filed under the name uncultured bacterium. RNAcentral describes it as "partial 16S ribosomal RNA". It matches the Rfam family "Bacterial small subunit ribosomal RNA", at positions 506 to 784 of the family's 1533-position model. The record is from RNAcentral.
UGCCAGCCGCCGCGGUAAUACGAAGGGUGCGAGCGUUAAUCGGAAUCACUGGGCGUAAAGCGUACGUAGGUGGCAAGGUCAGUCAGGCGUGAAAGCCCUCGGCUCAACCGAGGAAUUGCGCUUCAAACCACUAGACUUGAGGGAGGCAGAGGUGAGUGGAACUGAUGGUGGAGCGGUGAAAUGCGUUGAUAUUAUCAGGAACACCAGUGGCGAAGGCGACUCACUGGGCCUCUUCUGACGCUGAGGCACGAAAGCUAGGGUAGCGAACGGGAUUAGAUA